RNAcentral lists this ribosomal RNA (440 nucleotides) under uncultured bacterium. RNAcentral describes it as "partial 16S ribosomal RNA". It matches the Rfam family "Bacterial small subunit ribosomal RNA", at positions 338 to 795 of the family's 1533-position model. The record is from RNAcentral.
CCUACGGGUGGCAGCAGUGAGGGAUAUUGGUCAAUGGGCGAAAGUCUGAACCAGCAACGUAGCGUGAGGGAUGACUGCCCUCGGGGUUUUAACCUCUGUUUAUAUUGGAGUAAAAUGUUGUACGUGAGGGGUUAUCUCCGUCUAAAUUCGUUCCAGAAGGCGCGAUUCUGUGUCGGCAGCCAGGGUUGUCCGGAUUUACUGGGUGUAAAGGGAGCGUAGGUGGUGUGUUAAGCCUGGUGUGAAAGUUUGCGGCCCAACCGUAGGAUUGCAGUUGAAACUGGCAGGCUUGAGUACAGUAGGGGUGGGCGGAAUUCGGGGUGUAGCGGUGAAAUGCGUAGAUAUCACGAAGAACUCCGAUUGCGAAGGCAGUUCACUGGACUGCAACUGACACUGAGGCUCGAAAGUGUGGGUAUCAAACAGGAUUAGAUACCCUAGUAGUC